CUAGAUUUUAUUAAUGAAAUGCACAACUUGCUUACUGGGUGGACUGGUCCAACUCUAGUAGGUGGGGAUUUUAAUUUGAUUAGGGAGGCCAGUGAGAAAAACACUGGUCUGAUCAACCAGCACUAGGCAGACAUGUUCAAUGACUGGAUUAAUAAAUUUGAUCUUCUUGAGCUAAAGAUUAAUGGCAGGAAAUACACCUGGGGCAACAACCAAGACUCCUUGGUAAUGGCCACUAUAGAUAGGGUUUUCAUGUCCACUAACUGGGCAACAUCGUUUCCUAAUGUUCAGCUCAGAGCUCUUCCCAGGGUUGGAAGUGAUCACACCCCUAUGGUAUUGAACACUUGUGCUUUCUCCACCCCUAAAGAGAAAGCUUUUAGAUUUGAGAAAUGGUUUCUUGAAGUAGAAGGCUUUAGGGAGGUAGUCCAUAAAGCCUGGAAUACUAAAUGUUACUUUACCAAAGCCAUUGAUAUUUGGCAGUUUAAUAUUAGAAAUACCAGGAAAGCUAUUAAAGGCUAG
Molecule: ribosomal RNA, 516 nt
Filed under: Triticum aestivum (bread wheat)
Lineage: Eukaryota; Viridiplantae; Streptophyta; Magnoliopsida; Poales; Poaceae
Description: partial small subunit ribosomal RNA
Source: RNAcentral